UGAAUGAAACUGAUUAACAGCCAGAAGACCGAGAGGAGACGAGAGAUUCCUCAAGCUGAGGGCCAGAGCAUCUGAACUCCCGUAAACCAUGCUGGAGUCCACGAAGGCAGUGAUGGCGUUCAGCUGCUCCCGCUGGCCGAGAGGAGAACUGCAGCUCGGGGCAGAGCGGAAAAACGCCAUGCAGGACUGAGUGUGUGAGCGAGGGUCCGACAGCGGGAUCUGAACAGGAGGAGAAGAGUGUCCUGUGAUGGUGCGGUAGCGCUUGGACAGACAGUCAGAUUUACACACCGGUCUCUUCAUCUCUGCUGAGCAGCCGGUGGCCUGCAGGAUGGUCUCCAUGUCUUCUGCGCUCAAGAGCUCUGAAACACACACAGAGCAUAUUAAUAUGGUUUUAGGAUCAUGCGUUUAUUUACGAUGUUUUGGUAAUUGCACAAAUAGCUAUAAAUAAAAUAAUUAAAU
Molecule: long non-coding RNA, 459 nt
Filed under: Danio rerio (zebrafish)
Lineage: Eukaryota; Metazoa; Chordata; Actinopteri; Cypriniformes; Danionidae
Description: si:ch211-112d9.3 (ENSDARG00000102949.2)
Source: RNAcentral